Molecule: long non-coding RNA, 697 nt
Filed under: Rattus norvegicus (Norway rat)
Lineage: Eukaryota; Metazoa; Chordata; Mammalia; Rodentia; Muridae
Description: long non-coding RNA NONRATT023648
Source: RNAcentral
CUGUACCACACAGUGGGGAGAAGCCAGAGCCCAGCAUUGGGGGUGGGGAGGGCAAGAAGAGGCUAGCCACCUCUCGGCGCAGGAAGCAGUGCACGGCGGUGAUGACAAAGCCUUGUGCAGAGUUGAAAACAGCAAAGAGCGCCUGGAAGAGGACGGAGCGGCGAUCUGUCAUGGCCAGGACAGCGGACAUCCAGACCCACAAACCUCUCCAGCCCCACCCUCACCAACAGAGGCGCCACGUACUAGCUGGAUGUGCCGUAUCCUUUGGUGCGAGUAAAGCCAACAGACACAGCCACCACCAGGGCAGGCAGACCUGGAGACAGGGUUACAGGAACCUGCACCUGCCUUGCUCAGCACCCGGGACUGGCCCACGAGGAUCAGGAUGUUGGAAGCCAGGAUGGACAGGCAGAAGUUCAGCAAGAUGAUGGAGCGUUCUGACUUUAUAAACCUGACAGGGCACAGUGGGCAGAGGCAGAGGCGUUGGCUGCCUGCCUGCCUAACCCCAGAGAGCUGGCCACCUCCCAUCCUGCUCAGCAUCCGACUUUACCUCCAGAAGGCUGCAUAGAUGGCCAGCAACGUGAGCAGGGCCAUGCAGGACACCGCACAGCCGAUCACCAGGGGGACAGAGGGAGCACCCGCCAGCUCCAGAGUCUGUGGGAGAUGGGUUGCUGGGAGAGGGUAAAGGUAGAGCACCCGG